CUUUUUAUAUUGGUUUUCUUAUGGCUUUUUUUAUAACCAUUAGAAGUAUGUCUGUCGGGGCUGGAGAGAUGGCUCAGUGGUUAAGAACACUGCUGUUCUUGCAGAAGACCCGGGUUUGAAUCCCAGCACCCACAUAGCAGUUAAUUGUCCAUAAUUCCAGUUACAGGGGAUCCGACAGCCGCUUCUGUCUUCCUCGGGCAUUGCAUGACACAGGUGCGCUUACCUACAUGCAGGCAAUACACCCAAACACAUAAAAUAAAAAUACAAUAUAUUUUUUAAAAGAUUUAUUUAUUAAAGAAAAAGAAAUAUGUCUGUCACCCAAAGGCCUGUUUCCAACGAGCUAUGAGAAGGGCUGUCCAGAUGGAAAGGGUUACAAACUAUUAUCAGCUCUUUUCCAAAAAUUAAAUCUGAGUGGGAUCGAUUACUGCUUUUAUUAGAAUUGCUGCCAGAUCAAAUUCAAUCAGGCCUUUCCCUCAUCAGGACAGUGACCCUGUAACAUAAGCAUGAGCAAUAUUGAUAACUGACUCUGGCUUAGGAAUAAAGGUAGAACUGACUUCUACAGGGAGGUGCUGUGCUGAGCUGUGGCAACAGAUCUUGCAUGGAAUCUGUCAACAGGGACCGCCUGGUCUCUCACCUACAAGAUCUCCAGCAACAGGUUUACAUGGCCCAGAGACUUCUCAGAGAUGGUAAACUCGAGGAAGCCAUUCUACAGUUGUUGGGGUGCCAGGAGGAUGCUGAGAGCUUCCUAUCAGCAGAGCAUGCUAUGGUGGGGGAAAUCGAAGAUGGGCUGGCACAGGCCUAUGCUGCCUUAGGAGACUGGCAAAAGUCUGCUACCCAUCUACGGAAGAGUCUCCGAGUGGUUGAAGCCCGCCAUGGGCCAUCCAGUGUUGAAAUCGGCCAUGAGCUCUUCAAACUGGCCCAAGUCUUGUUCAAUGGGUAGGUCCUUCCCUUUUCCUAGCACUUUGCCAGAGCACAUGUUGUUCUGCUUUUCACUAGGUGCUUCUGUGUAUGAUUUGUUGCUACAGUGCUUUUAAGCAUAUUGAGACUUCUUUAUUUCCUCUUUUGGAUACAUCCUUGCCUUCUGUUUUACUGACAGACUUUAAGCUUAGAAUUUCCUCCUGAGAGAUGUGGGGAAAACUCUUAGAUCUGAAAUGAGUUUCCCAGGGGAGGACUUGCCAGGCAACCCCACCCACCCUAGCAUUCCUCUGUACUUAAUCACAUCUCCCUUGGUUUACUUAUUCCCAGCCCCCUCAACUCCAGGGGCUCUGCCUUUUCCCUAGUCUGCAUCUUAUCCUUUUAAAGCAGUUGUUUUCAACCUGGAGGAAUUUUGCCUUCAGAU
Molecule: long non-coding RNA, 1339 nt
Filed under: Nannospalax galili (Upper Galilee mountains blind mole rat)
Lineage: Eukaryota; Metazoa; Chordata; Mammalia; Rodentia; Spalacidae
Description: lncRNA (ENSNGAG00000024575.1)
Source: RNAcentral